Molecule: transfer RNA, 76 nt
Filed under: Patescibacteria group bacterium
Lineage: Bacteria
Description: tRNA-Gln
Source: RNAcentral
GCCGGUUGAGCCAGAUGGGACGGCGGGGGACUUUGAAUCCUUGACUGACCGCGUUCGAUUCGCGGAACCGGUGCCA